RNAcentral lists this ribosomal RNA (510 nucleotides) under uncultured bacterium. RNAcentral's name for it is "partial 16S ribosomal RNA". It matches the Rfam family "Bacterial small subunit ribosomal RNA", at positions 28 to 507 of the family's 1533-position model. The record is from RNAcentral.
GACGAACGCUGGCGGCGUGCUUAACACAUGCAAGUCGAACGAAGAGCGAUGGAAGCUUGCUUCUAUCAAUCUUAGUGGCGAACGGGUGAGUAACGCGUAAUCAACCUGCCCUUCAGAGGGGGACAACAGUUGGAAACGACUGCUAAUACCGCAUACGAACUAACCUCGGCAUCGAGGAUAGAUGAAAGGUGGCCUCUACAUGUAAGCUACCACUGAAGGAGGGGAUUGCGUCUGAUUAGCUAGUUGGAGGGGUAACGGCCCACCAAGGCGAUGAUCAGUAGCCGGUCUGAGAGGAUGAACGGCCACAUUGGGACUGAGACACGGCCCAGACUCCUACGGGAGGCAGCAGUGGGGAAUCUUCCGCAAUGGACGAAAGUCUGACGGAGCAACGCCGCGUGAGUGAUGACGGCCUUCGGGUUGUAAAGCUCUGUUAAUCGGGACGAAAGGCCUUCUUGCGAAUAGUUAGAAGGAUUGACGGUACCGGAAUAGAAAGCCACGGCUAACUACGUG